CACACACACACACACUAUUAUUAUUAUUAUUAUUAUAUUUUUACCAACAGCGGCCCUAAUACGCCAGCAUAGUUUUUAUAUAUUUUCUUGUGUUGUGUUGCAGGUAACGCUCCAGCUGAAAAGCAGCUGGACUCCAACAGAAGUCUUUUAAGAUCAUCAUCAUUAUCAUUAUCAUCAGAUUGACACGGCUUGAAGAUAAGAACUCCAGAAAGAAAACUGGGACAUGAAGGAAGCUUUCCUGGUGGAAAUGGUUCACCAGAGGAAUCUCCAGGUUCAAGAAGAGAGAUGGAGCUGAAGAUUCACAGAGGGACAUAAAGUUCCUGGCAGAGAGAACCGGCUGGUGAUGACCGACUCUGUUCCUGGUUGAGUUUAAGACGGAUGAUUCAGCAGCCGUUAUAAAAACAUCAUGAUAAAACCUGGAGAGCCUGAAUGCAUCAUGUGCUCUGGUCUGGUUCCAGAGGAGGAAAGCUCUUCUUCUUCUUCUUCUGUUGUAUUUUAUUGCUCUUUAUUCUCUAAAACUACCAAAAUCAGGAUUAAAGUCAAGAUUUAAUGAAAAAUGCCUUUUUAUCCCAUUAAGGUCAUAUCCCUGUUAAUAUUGUGCACCUAUUUAACAAUAUGACAAAAAAUGUCUUUGUAUUUGGCAUAAAAAUGUAAUCAUAUUUAUUUUCCAGAUAAUUUCUUUAAAUUAUGGAUAAUACAUAAUAUAAAAUAUGCCUUAAUUUUACAUUCAGCAGUAUGGUUUAUUGUAUUUCUAUGUAGAAUUCAUGGUAAUUUAAAAUCAAUGACCAUUAAGUAAUUGAAUAAUCCUCUAAAAAAAGUUAUUUAUAUUAAUUUACUGAUUUCAACUUCCAUGUUAUGGUUUAUAUUUGUAAUAAAAGUAAUUUAAAUACAGCACUUUAAAUAAAUAAUAAAGUACAUUUCUGGAAAAUAACUUUCUGAAAACGCUCUAACUUCUUUAGACAUAUAUUUUUUUAAACUAAUCUAGUUCACUCUACAUGGACAGUUACAAUUUAAAUGUUUAUGAAAUAAGUGAAUGAAGGUAUAUUAUUUAUCAUUACACAACCUUUCUGUAUGACAUCAACUGUUGAUGUCAGUUCAGUUGUUGUUAAAUAUACAUUAACUUAAUUUUCCCAGCUUGGAACUUAAUUUUCCAAAUAUUCCAACAACAUGAAUGCAGAGUAAUAUAAAUAAAAAGUUUACUUUAGAGGCUUUUUUUCUGUUUAUGUUUACGCAGACAGUGAUAAAUUCUUGUUUGACUGCUGUUCAGACUUUUUGCAAAUAUGUUUUUCAUCAAACAUAAUUUAUUAUAAUGAAAUUUUUCAACAAAGGAGUUUGUACGGGAACAUAAUAAAGAGUCAAUGGAUG
Molecule: long non-coding RNA, 1365 nt
Organism: Centropristis striata (black sea bass)
Lineage: Eukaryota; Metazoa; Chordata; Actinopteri; Perciformes; Serranidae
Exons: 3
Source: RefSeq, a predicted model, not a curated record